CUUUCACCUAAAUCUUACACACUGAACCUUUAAUGAAUUUUGUCGCUGUAUCUUGGUCUAAUUGAGCACAACAUUGAUGCCUUUAAUGCUGUCUGUCUCUGUAUUUUUAACAGUUCAUCAGAGAGGAUGAUGGGAGCUCAUAUGUAGUCAGUGGGAGUGGGGUGGUCAGCGAUCCUGACACCACUCACAAGGACAGUGUUCCUCAGUCCUGGCAGCUCUACUCCAGUCCUGUCAAUCACACAAUAGGAGGCGUGGCUUACUUCCAGGUCACUGAGCAUAAGAUGACAGUCACCUUCAUGCAGACUAAUGGGAAAUGUGUUUACCGCACAGAGCUGCCAACACGUAUAGUCAGAAGUAAUGGAAUGCUCUAAAACUGAAGAUAUGAUUACUGAUAUCUUUGGGCGAUGGCAUGUUACUAUUAAGUGAAAUGUGUAUAUAUUAAGUGUAUAUUCAAAGUAUUUUGUACUGUAUGUAAUGUAACAAAAUAUAAACUGUUUUAUGUCUUUUGUUGUGCAUUGUAUUUCAUGAUGGAGGCCUCAAUGUGCAGGAUGAAUUAUAGCUCUACUUGCAUACAAGUAAGUAGUAGAGCAAUAGUAGAGCCAAGUAGAGCAUUGUUAGGUUUGCAACCAAAACAUCUGCUCUGCCAUUUUCACUCAAAAUUGGACCAAAUUAAUAUUUGAUUGUCAUAUUACUGCUUUUAUUUGUUCAAGUUUGUAUUUACUUUGCUUGCUUUUCAGUCAAAGCACUUCCGUUUUUUAAAGUGCUAUAUGAAUAAAGUGUAUUACUAGUAGUAGUAGUAGUAAUAGGAAACAAAUCCCAGAUUCAGUGAUGGAAGCAGUGAACAGAACCUCAAAAAACAUGGACGAUUUGAGUAGUAAUGUAGACGAAUUUCUGUCUCUGUAUGGCGCUGGUGUUUUUCCCGAUUUGGGUCCUCUACAACAAGCUCAAUCUUUGAUUUUGCUGGCUAAAGCUACAACAACACUCUUUGCAUUGAGGCUUAGGUGUAAAGGGAUCAACCCAGAUGACCGUCCUGUCAAAUUAGAGUUUGAACGUUUGAGCUUGUUCCAAGAGAAAUUGCAGGAAUUGAUGGACUUGAAUAAAGCGCCAUUGCGACCAUCAGCAAGGAUAAAUCCGCAAGGUGCUGCUCGAUUUAUCGAGCAUUCGUUGCCUGAUCUUACACCUGAGCAGAGAAAAAGCAUGAGAGAAAUCAGUAAAGCUGACGGGCCUAGGAUUAAGUAUCUGGAAAGAGUUGUUCAUAAGAAGAGGAAGUAUUCCGACCAGCAAUCUGUUCGAACUGCUACCCAGGAGUUCCUUGAGAAAGCUGCCCGUGAACUUCUUGGUGAAAACCAGAGUGGUUUUAAGGGACCUUUACAACUGCCAGAGGGUGAUGAUGAAGACAUACCUAUGAGCUGAUUUUCUGAGAUUCUCUUCUGCUGAUGAAGCCAUGCAGGUGCGCACCAGAUUUUGUGCUGAUGAGCUUUUCAAGCAUUUUGUUCCAGUUCCAACAUAUGAUGAAGAUACUCGGAUCAUACACAAGCUUUGCAGCAAUUGCUACUUUAGCCGCUAAUCGUUGAUGCAAGUUAUAAUUUAAUAGAGUCUGCUUUCGGUUUUCAGCUAUGAAUCCAAAGUUGCUCCGUUUUUCUGUAAGGUUUGUUUAUUGUAAGAGAAAGCUGGCAGUUACAUGUACAAUAGUGCAGCAGAAACUAGAAAUUAUCUUUUUUGUAGUUUCAUUUGUUUUCAAUAGAUCCUGUUGCAGUAGCAGCUAAAAGCUGGGAUUUUUUUUAUUACACUUUCUAUGACAAGAUGAUUAUAUGGUCAGUGUAGAAGAAAAGCAAGCAUGUUCCAGAUUCAGCUUUCAAUAGUUUUGUAUUGUUGGUACGGG
This 1882-nucleotide unclassified non-coding RNA is filed under the name Hevea brasiliensis (rubber tree). The record is from RNAcentral. Lineage: Eukaryota; Viridiplantae; Streptophyta; Magnoliopsida; Malpighiales; Euphorbiaceae.